Molecule: long non-coding RNA, 1527 nt
Organism: Gallus gallus (chicken)
Lineage: Eukaryota; Metazoa; Chordata; Aves; Galliformes; Phasianidae
Source: Ensembl
GAAUGCUGAAGAGAUUGUAAAAGUGUUAAAGUGGAACUUCAAAAGCAGACUUGUCCAAAAUUCUGACUGAAGAGGUGUGAAAACCUGGACAACACACAUCAAGAAAAAGGCUAGCAGGACUCAAAGUGACUGAAAAUACAAGCCUCCAGAUAAGGUGGUAGAAGCCUGCAAUUGUGUUAUUGACAGUUGCACCUGAGACAUGGACUGUUGUGAAACAGCACAUUUGAGGUACACUGCAUACCAACUAUGAGGCAGAUCCAAGGCCUUCGAGGUACAUGUGGCUAUUCUGCCACAUGUGUCUCAGUAGCUGACUUCUUUGCCAAACUUCCUUAUGAUUACAUCUCUACUACGCUAACUGUAUUUCAAAAUCUGCCUUAAAGUUAGUUCAAAGCUCAUUUUAAUCACUAAAAAGAAAUUGCCAUUGGCUUCACUGCAGAUAUCAUCAGUUGGCUCUGAUCCAUUCCACCACAGGGUCUGAGGGAGCUCGUCAGCCCUUUCUCCAGCAUCCAUGUCUGGGUGGCAUCUGGCCAUUUACUAGUUGGAAGAGACAGCACUAAGGUCAGAAAGUCAUCUUAUCUUCCUCUGAAUAAGGGCUAGAUUUCACUGCCAGAUUUAUCAUUCUAUUUCUCAUAUGAAUAAAAAAUUUCAGGUCAAUGAGAAAGCACAAGAGGGUCUUUGUACAAGUGGAUGGUAGAAUUUCAGCACUAGAUGCUGUGGGCAAAUCACUACUGUCACUUGUUUGUUUUGUUAUUUCUGAGGUUCUCCCCCCUCUGUAACUCUGCAUUAUAUCGGCUCCAAAAUGUGGUGGAAACAAACUUAUGAGUAUGUAUCUACAGGUAAUGCAUUCACUUCCUGGGUGUAACAAAAACUCUUCAGAGGGUGAAGCUGCUUCAACAUUUCUGAAAGUCCUUUGUCACCUCACUCCUUCCAGUACCCUAAACAAUUGAGAAACUGAGUUGAUAAAAUAUUCCUUUGAGGGAAAUUGAGUUGGAAGUCCUCAUGGAUACAGAUGGCAGCAUCAGAACUGUGAGCUGAUUGGGAAAGUGUGAGAAGAUGCAUCAGAUCUUGCUGUGCUUUCAAACAUGCAUAAAGACAGCUCUAUCUUUGGCAUGGAACAAGCAUGGAGAAACUUUAAUAACAACGCAAGACGUAGUGCUGUAACCUAGGUUCAUAAGUUUCUUUUUCGUUGCCUUCAACAAAACCACCACUUAAAUCAAACUCUUCAUAAGAAAUGCUGAUCUGCAGAAUAUUACCAGAUGGGUCUCCUGCCUUCUGAAGAAAGGGGGAAAUGAGAGAGCCUCAUGUUUAACGGCAUAUGAAAGAAGAAAUACAAUGUGUAAACUUUCCACUGACGGAUAUAAUAGUGUUCUCACUUUUAAAGAAAAACAGUACUUCCUAGCAGGAGGCCUGCAAGAAAUUUAACAAUUACUCAAGAUUUAGUUGUACAGCAUGGCAUUUUCGAACAUGUGCAGAGUCUGUUAUUUUUUGUAAUUAAAUUAAUUUAAAUAAUAAAUAAAGUAAUUAAAA